UGGGAGGGGGGCUUGCCCCCGAUGGCAGUGUGUCAGCCAAGAGUGACUAACCUGAUACACCGCUAUCGGGGGCAAGCCCCCUCCCAC
Molecule: unclassified non-coding RNA, 87 nt
Filed under: Pseudomonas orientalis
Lineage: Bacteria; Pseudomonadati; Pseudomonadota; Gammaproteobacteria; Pseudomonadales; Pseudomonadaceae
Source: RNAcentral